RNAcentral lists this long non-coding RNA (14137 nucleotides) under Prunus persica (peach). Its description in RNAcentral is "long non-coding RNA (PPER_LNC003685)". The record is from RNAcentral. Lineage: Eukaryota; Viridiplantae; Streptophyta; Magnoliopsida; Rosales; Rosaceae.
AAAGAAGAAGAAAAUGGCGUGAUCCAGUUAUAUUCUUCAGAACAAAAUCCGAGAGACUCAAGCAGCCUACCUGAACUUGAUCAAAUUUUGGUUGAGCCAGGCCCAGGUAUGGAAACAAAAAGAACUACUGCCGCGGCUGGUCAGAUUCAGACCAAAGCAGUAGCAACAGCUUGGUGGCUGAUAAAUAGACUGGUAAAUUGCUUGGAGUACCCAAGAACUUGGUUGGAAGAUACACGUGGCAUGCUGAUGAUUGUGGCAACCAUGAUAUCAACCACAACUUUCGAAGCUGCAGUUAAUCCACCCGGUGGUGUUUGGCAAGACAAUAAAAUAAAUAGUAGCGCAGGAAAUGCUACUUAUUGCACCGAUGAUAAGAUAUGCUUGGCUGGAACUUCAGUGGCAGGCAGCGGCUUCCCAAAAGACUUCCUCGAGUUCGUAAUACACAAUACCAUCUCGUAUAUUUCUUCUCUCAGUGUCACCCUUUUGCUUGUUGGCGGAUUUCCCCUCCGGAAUCGUGUAAUUAUGUGGCUUUUAUCAAUGGCCAUGUGUCUCACUCUUACUUCUAUGGCACUCACCUAUAUACAUGCUCUUAUCAUAGUGUUCCCUAAUACUGAAAUUUACAAAUCAUAUGAAAAGAUAUCCCAGAUAUCCAUUGUGGUUUGGGUUACACUGCUUGGGAUCAUAGCUGCAAUCCACACCAUUCGUCUUAUCAUUUGGUUGGUGAGGAAGUUGUGGGGCAGGUUCAAGCAUAAGAUCCCAAAAAGCCUCAGGAACGUGAUUGAUAGUUUGGUGGAUAGUUCGAGAGCACGUCACCGUACCAAAAAAUUCUGAGGAGAAUACGCCUGUCUGUCGUUUCCUUGUGUAUUGGAGCAACUACACCAGAUUGCUAAAGUAAACCAUCUAUUUAAUGAUGAAGAAUGUGUUUAAGGAGAACCAGUAGGUCGUGUUUGGCUGGUGCCCUAGCCAAUGUUUGCCUUAAUUUAUUUCUGUUAGAACUUGGAUGCUAUGUAAUAUAUAAAGAUUCUAUGGAGCUGUAGUCAUGUUUAUUAACACAGAGAGCUUCCAUUUAGGGAUUCCUCAAAUUAGCUUAUUUGAGGGAUACUCUUGUAUGACUCACUUCGCAUUGUAUUUCACUAAUCCAAACCAUCUAUAUUGUAGAUGCUCAUUCAAAAAUCAUCUCUACAAAAAAUCACUUGAAUCCAAUAUUGUUUGACCACUCAAGUUGUGUUUGGCAAGUCAGAAUGAUCAGUUUGGAUGCUAUGUAAUAAAUAAAGAUUCUGUGGAGCUGUUGUUGUUUAUUAAUCUGAAAUCUAUUUUUAUUUCCUCCUUAUAUAAAGCUUGGUGAAAACUGUUUGAUAACUCUUCAUUAAUAAUUCUAGUGUUCGGCUAAUAGUAAAGAGAGAGGUUAAGCUGACGUGUGGUUAGUUAGUCACGUGUAUUAGUUAUGUUAGUUGUUGUAAUAAUCACGUGGGUUAUUCUCAUUGAAAUACAAGUUCUCUGUUGUUCUCUCAAUUUCGCUGUUUUAUAUUUCUCCAAUCUUCUUCUUCCUCAAUUCUUCUUCUUCUGUUAGCAUCUAGAACCUUGUAGACAUAAGAACUUUCCGACCCUAAUUAUGAAAAAUUAAAUUAUUUUAUUUUAGGGAGUUUCACUUAUAAACCCUUUAUUAGAGACUAAUAACUUAUAAAAAUAUGGCACUGGGUUCGUGGUCGAAGGUAGUUGGGUUUGGUUGGGUUGUACGUAACCACGUGAUCAUUUAUGUCUAGGUUGACACACCCUAGUGGUCUUAUUAGUGGCAUGGACAUGAUCUCAUGUGUGAGGAGACCUUUUACAAAUAUUUAUAAAAAAAGUUCGAACACACAAUACAUUCCAAAGUAACCAAAAAGACCAAAAGUUCAUACAUAAAUAUAAUACAUAUGUAAUAAAAUCUUUACUCUUUUUCUUUUCUUUUCUUUUUUUUUCUUUUUUUUUUUGGUGGUCAUAAAAAAUAUAUGUCAUUUAUUGGCUCAGUCCUUCCCUAUUUUCCAUUAAAGAUAUACCUUUUUUUAAGAUAGAAGCCAUUUAAGUUAAGCCAAGCCAUGUUGAAUGGCUCCAAACUUGGAAUCUGAUAUUUGGAGUUUCCAUUGAUUAUAAGAUACUGUUAAAUCUUUGUUAGCCCAUUGAAAAGACACCAUUACUUAUCCGUGCCAAAGUGAAAAAUAAUUGUUAAAAAAAAAUGGCACCAUUUUGAGGUGCCAAUUCAUCUUUAUAAUUAAUAAUACAUUUAAUACUAGAAGCAUAUGGUCCCACCAACACCCACAAUAUUCUUUCACCGCAUAUUCUUUGGCCGGCACAAUACAAUAAUUCAUAAUUUUAUAAAUCACCAUAUCUAUAAGUAUAACCAUAGUUACAUAAAUCAAAAUAAAAGGUUAAUUAUGAUUAUGUCUUGACACAUAUCAAGUAUUAACAAGAGUGAUGAGCAUACACCUUAGUUUAAAGUUGUGAGCAAAAAAAUUUCCUAAUUAAUAGAAGUUUGAACUAAUUUGGAUUGUAGCUCAUUAUUCCAUUGCUUAAAAUUAGGAACUUAAAGAGUAGUUUAAUGGCAUAAUUGGUAAAUAAAUCAAAUUACAUUACACAUCCUAUAUGGCAUCUAAUUUUAAAAUUGAGUUUUACUUAAAGGUUUUAUUAUUGGUGGGUUAUGGUCUAGAGUUUUUAAAUUGUAAGGGCCUAUAUUAAUGUGACUUUUCUUUUUGUCACAGCAACAAUGUGAUAGAUUUUGAUAGAUAUUACAACAUCUUUAUAGAAAAAGAUUAUUAUUAUAAUCAUGUUGUUCUGAUUUAUGCUUGAUUUAUUUAUUGACGCUAGAAGUCCUAAAGAUAAUAUUAAACAUGGAAGCAAAUAUAUUGAACUCAAAAGAUGAGACAGGGAGGACUCCACUGCAUUAUGCAGCAUCAAUUGGUUAUCUAGAAGGGGUUCGCUUCUCAGGCAGACGUCUCGUGGAUUCUCAUUGACAGGAUCAUUGUGGCAACUUUCCGAUCCAUUAUGCAUCAAGCAAAGGUCAUGUCAACAUUGUUAAAGAGCUACUUCAACAUUGUCCCGAUUCAAUGGAGCUGAGGAACUCAAGUGACCAAAAUAUACUCCAUGUUGCAGCAAGAUGUGGCGAGGACAAUCUUGUCAAAUAUUUUCUCAAGAAUGUUGAGUUUCAAAUGUUGACAAACCAAAAAGACAACAGAAGAAAUACUCCUUUGCACUUGGCAAAGAUGUACCAUCAUCCGAAAGUUGUGGACCUUUUCACUUUGGAUAGAAGGAGCAACUUAAAGGUCUUGAAUGAUAGGGGCAUGACAUCUCGUGACAUUUCAGAAAGCACUUCGGAAACUAGUGCAUCAUAUCAUGGGGUAAGUUUGUGUUAAAUCUACUUUUAUCAUAUUACUGAUGAUGAUGAUGAUUUUGGCUAUCAUUACCAAGGGAAUUCUUUGUUUUAUUUAGUGUGUUAGGUACAAGACAGCAUUUAGUAGUCUAGAAAUUGAACAAAGAACUAAAAGGAGAAACAAGUAAUUGAGAAAAUACUAAAAUCACUUGAGGCUGAUAUAAAUAAGCUGGAAUGGAUGAUCUAAAAUAGGGAUAUCAUCAUUUGGCUCGUAGUCCGCGGGUCAAAGUGGGUAACUCGAGGCUCAAUGGGCCAAAGUCCAACCUGAACCGAUGGUUAAUGAGGCCCGCUCGACUCAACCUUCUAAGGUUGGGUAGGGCUUGUGCUUAGGAUUUAUUAAAACCUUUGGCCCGCCCAUUGCCUUAUAUUCCCUUAUUUUCAUUCCCCAUUAAAAAUACUAGAAAUACUAGAAAUUCAAAUUCCCAACAAAUCAAAAUAUUAAAAUCCAGUUUUAGUAUAAGAUACAGUUUAUAUCAAUAUUGAUACCUCAACAAGUCAAUGUAUAUACUUUAUACUAAAAUCUCAUAAAAUCGUGUUUGAUUAUUUAAAAUGUAAGGAAUAUAAACCGCCAAAUGUAUUAUUGAAACUAUACAACCCACUGAUAAACUCUAAUUUCUUCACUCUCACAACAAUAUAUAUAUAUAUAUAUAUGUAACUAUAGAAUAUACUCAUCACACUACCUAGGUACCGGGGAAACAAUCCAACCGGAGGAUCGUUUAACUAGCCCGCAGGAUUUUCAAGUGUUAUCCUGCGUCUAGGGAUGAGCAGUCCAACCGGGGGACGAAACUCCAUAGCUCACACACCAGAACAUCCAACGCCAUAUGUAGCUCCAAUACUAAGUCCUACGCGCGCAGACUGGAUCAUCACACAUUGGAACAUCCAACGCCAUGUGUGAUGAUCCCAAACAAUAUACAGAGUCUUCCCAUAUGCCGGAACAUCCAACGCCGCGUAUGGAAAGUGUCUUCCCAUACGCCGGAACAUCCAACGCCGCAUGUGAGACUGAUAACCUAUUCUUCCCACACGCCGGAACAUCCAACGCCACGUGUGGGAAGUCUAAUCACUAGGGAAGAUACUUACAUAGUGUAAUCAUACAACUUCUCUCAACAACCCCUCAUAUUUAAGUUCCUCCACAACUCACCUCAACAACCCAAGUAUCCCACCUAUAGACAAUAUAUAUAUAUAUAUAUAACUCCCCCAAAAAUCCAUAAAAAAUAUACUCUCGAUACUCAAAUAUGCCAAACCCACAAUAUAUUGCCAAAGCGCUAUACAAACAUCAAAUUUAACCCAUGAAUAUAAUAUAUUUAAUAAAUUAUUAAAAACAUUAUGCAUAGAUCUUUCAUCAAUAAAACCAUGCAUAUGAUUGAAAACAAAGUCCACUUACAAGUAUUCCCACGCUGCCUGACCACGAGAGGGUCCUGCCUGCUGAGUACGUGCAGUCGGAGCACCUAUUUUGAGAUACGAACCCUUAAUUAAUAUAAAAUUACUUUGAAGCGGAAUUCACAAAUUAAAUACUUAAAUCCCCAAAUUUCAAGUACAUGUAUGUUGAAGGAGGUAUCCUAAGGUCCGAUUAUAGGUUUAGGAAUCGCUCACAAUUGUACGGUUAUCGCUAACCCAUAAACUUUGAAUUAUUGAAUCGGAACAUCCGGGGCUCCGAUUCAUGAUCCGUGAAGUCCUACACGGUCCUAGGAAUACCUAGAACAAUAUAUUUUAAUUGGGAAAAGAUCCAACGGUCAGAACCUAUCGAACCCGGAUAACGCACAAUAUGCGAAAAUCCAUUCGGUAGUCAAAGGACGUCCGAAUUGAGAUCCGCGAAAUCUUACUCACUCGUGAAAACCUAAGGAUCUCAUCGAGACAAAGUGCAACUUCACCACCCUCGUCCAUGCGCCGCCACAUGCGCCGGCAGCGUGGGUGUGUAGAGUAAAAUCUGGCGACGGAAAGACUCCAUACUCGAGCUCACCCUUCCUAUCCUAGCUUCUACUCGAGGUCAGGAUCACAUCAUUCAACUACGGGGAGGUCCAAUUCGGAAGGCAAUUGGCCGGAAUUUCACUUUGAAAUUCGGCCAAAACCUAGGUUUACAAAAUUGUUUUCUACACAUUAAAUCGAUCCAAACCUAUCUCAAAAACAGCUAGAGCUCAGAAAAUGGAUGAGAAACCUCACCUUAUUCACCGGGUUUGGGCGGCAGAGUCGAUGGCGCGACGGGCAGUGAUUCACCGGUUCAAACUAGUCGAGAUAGUGGCCGAGAUUGGUGGUUUCCGACGAAGAAAGCUAGCGGGUCUUGACCGGGACAUCGAGGGGAAUUGAUCGGGACCGGUGGAGUCAAUUGGGGUGGCCGGAAACGGUGGCGGGGUGGUGGUUUCUGGUUUGGUGAACAAUAACGGGGGAGGCGUAGGUUGCACGUAGAAAGAGAGAAUCGGGAGAGAGAGAGAGAGAGAGAGAGAGAGAGAGAGAGAGAGAGAGAGAGAGAGAAGUAAAAGUGAAAAAAAAUCAUAUUUUUACUCUAACUCUUUUCAAAAUAAUUACAAGUUUGCCACUGAAUUACUUUUGAUCGCCAAAUCUUCGUUCCAACUCCGAUUCAAGCCUACCGCAUGUCUACGAAUUCGUCUCAGUACAACCUACCCAAAAUAUUUCCGGAUAAGAGAAUGACCAAUUUACCCCUAUCCUAAAGGUAAAUUCGUAAUUUCACUUUAAAUAAAUUAAAAUAGGAAUUAAAUUUGCAGUCGGGGUGUUACAAUCUAUCCCCUUACAAAAAUUUCGUCCUUGAAAUUCACGUACCUGUCAAUGGAAGUGAUAAGGGUACUUGGCCCUCAUUUGCUCCUCAGGCUCCCAUGUAGCUUCUUCCACGGUUUGGCUUCUCCACAUAAACUUCACUACCGGAAUAGAUCUAGAGGCUAUUCCUCAUAUGACAAAUCUUCUUCUAACUCUACAGGUUGAUACUCUAGAAUAUGAGAAGGGUCUGGCAUGUAUUUCCGAAGCAUAGAUACAUGAAACACAUCAUGGACCUGCGAUAGUUCUGCAGGUAAUGCAAGUCUAUAGGCAAAAUGUCCGAUGCGCUCAGUGAUCUCAUAGGGUCCAAUAUAACGAGGGCUUAACUUCCCACGUUUCCCGAAUCUCAUUACACCCUUCCAAGGAGAUAACUUCAGAAACACCCAAUCCCCAACUGCAAACUCAAGAUCCUUUGACCUAUUAUCCGCAUAACUAUUCUGUCGGUCUUGUGCGGUUUUCAGCUUCUCUUUAAUCAUCUUCACCUUCUCGGUUGUUGCUCGGAUACUAUCCACUCUUUCCAAUUUCUUAUCACCCACCUCAUUCCAACAAAUAGGAGUCCUACACUGCCUCCCAUACAAUGCCUUAUAAGGAGCCAUCUCAAUACUCGCAUGAUAACUGUUAUUACAUGCAAAUUCCACCAAGGCAAGGUGAGUAUCCCAUGCAUCUUUCAUCUGCAACACACAUGACCUCAACAUAUCCUCCAAAGUCUGGAUGGUCCUUUCUGAUUGUCCAUCAGUCUGUGGGUGAAAAGUUGUGCUGAAUUGCAACCUAGUACCCAUAGCUUCCUGCAAACACUUCCAGAAUCGAGAAGUGAAUCGAGCAUCCCUGUCCAAUACAAUGGACACAGGUACUCCAUGUAAUCUCACAAUCUCAUCCACAAAGAGUUUUGCCAACUUCGUCAAAGAAUAAGUCUCCUUGAUGGGUAGGAAAUGGGUUGACUUGGUGAGUUUAUCCACUAUCACCCAAAUUCUAUCAUGUCCCUUAAAAGUACGGGGAAGCUUGAAAACAAAAUCCAUGGUAAUGCGUUCCCACUUCCAUUCAGGAAUCAGAAGUGGUUACAUAAGUCCUGAAGGUUUCUGUCGCUCUGCCUUCACUUGUUGACAAAUCAAGCAUCUGCCCACAUACUUGGCAAUGUCUCCCUUCAUAUGCAGCCAUGAGUAAUAUUCUCGUAGGGUCCGAUACAUCUUGGUACUUCCCGGAUGCAUAGUGUAAGUGGAACAGUGAGCUUCCUCUAUGAUUUCUCUUUUCAGAUCAUUAUUCUUAGAUACACAGAGACGAGUUCCUGUUACCAACGCUCCGUCUCCCCUUAUUGCAUAAUCCUUCCGGGUACCAUUUUCCACUUCUCCCCUUAUUCUACAAAGUGUUAGAUCCCCCAACUGGGCUACAAUUACCCAUUCCACCAGAAUGGGUCUCACAUGUAAGCUAGCAAAAAUUCCACCCUGUUGAGUUAUUCCCAACUGUACUCCAUCCUUCCGUAGUUCCAUUAACAACGGAAGAUAUGCCGUUCUGAGAUGAGCUAAACUUCCAGUAGUCUUUCUACUCAGUGCAUCUGCAACCACAUUAGCUCAACCUGGAUGAAACUCAAUCGUGCAAUCAAUUCACACCAACGCCGUUGUCUCAUAUUAAGCUCCCUUUGAGUGAAAAAGUACUUGAGGCUUUUGUGAUCAGUGAAAAUCUAACACGUCUCACCAUACAAGUAAUGCCGCCAAAUCUUGAGAGCGAACACUACUGCAACAAAUUUCAAAUCAUGGACAGGAUAAUUCUGCUCAUGCUUCUUGAGUUGCCUUGAGGCAUAAGCAAUCACCCGAUCAUAUUGCAUCAGAACACAUUCCAAGCCUUGUAAAGAUGCAUUACUGUAAAUCACAAAAUUUCCUGAAUUAUCCGGAAGAGCCAAGACAGGUAUGGUGGUUAAUCGCUUCUUUAAUUCUUGAAAACUCUGUUCACACUCUUCCGUCCAAUCAAAUGUAACAUCUUUCCUUGUCAACCGCGUGAGAGGUGCUGCUAUCGAAGAGAACCAUUCCACAACUCGCCGAUAGUAGCCUGCCAAUCCCAGAAAACUCUGUAUUUCUGUCACACUUGUGGGUUGUACCCAAUUCACAAUAGCUUCAACUUUCUGUGGAUCCACAUAAAUCCCUUCAUCUAAAAUUACAUAUCUGAGGAAUACCACUCUGUCCAGCCAGAACUGACACUUACUAAAUUUGGCAUAAAGCUGCUUUCUCUUCAAAGUCCUCAAUACCAACCUUAGAUGCUUCUUAUGCCCUUCCAAAGUCUAGGAGUAAACCAAGAUAUCGUCUAUGAACACAAUCACAAAGUGAUCCAAGUAUGGUCGGAACACUCUGUUCAUGAGAUCCAUAAACGCUGCUGGAGCACUCGUCAGUCCAAAAGGCAUCACCAGAAAUUCAUAAUGUCCAUACCGCGUUCUAAAUGCGGUCUUAGGAAUAUCCUCUUCCCUGAUCCGCACCUGAUGGUAUCCUGAUCUCAUAUCAAUCUUAGAAAAAUGCUUAGCACCCUUCAACUGAUCAAACAAAUCAUGAAUCUGAGGCAAAGGAUACCGGUUACGUAUUGUCACCUUAUUCAACUGCCAGUAAUCAAUACAUAACCUCAUGGUCCUAUCUUUCUUUCUCACGAAUAACACCGGUGCACCCCACAGAGAAACACUGGGUAAGAUGAACCCAAGAUCCACUAACUCCUGCAACUGAGUCUUCAACUCUCAGAGCUUAGCUGGUGCCAUCCUAUAGGGAGUUUGAUAGAUAGGGUUGGUGCCUGGAAGAAGCUCGAUAAUGAACUCGAUUUCCCUUUCAGGGGGUAAAUCAGGGAGAUCAUCUGGAAAAAUAUCAGGGAAAUCACAAACAAUAGGAAUAUCUUCCAGAUUCAGGGUGAUCUCUCGAGUAUCGAUGAUAUGAGCCAAAUAUCCUUGACAACCCUUCUUGAGUAACCUCUUAGCUAUGAUAGCAGAGAUAAGACAAGUAGGGAGAACUCUACGCUCCCCACGAAAGGUAACUUUAGGUUGCCCUGGACUCCAAAGUGUUACUUCCUUCCGGAAACAGUCCACUGAUGCAUGAUGCUUCUCUAGCCAAUCCAUCCCUAAUAUAAUAUCCAAAUCCACCAAAUCUAAAGGAAUUAAGUUGGCUUCCAACCAUGCAUCGCCUACUUGGACAAAACAAUUUCUGAACACUUGAUCUGCGUACAAGACUUUUCCCGUAGGUAGGGAAAUACUAAUACUUCUUGUCAUAGAUGUAGGUCUAACACUGACAUACGGUACGAAAUUGUGUGCUGCGAAGGAGUGUGUGGCCCCCGGGUCAAUUAGAACAAGUGCAAGAUAACCAAAGAUUGGAAUCAUACCAGUAAUCAUGUCCGGGGUGGCAUGUGCUUCCUGCUGAGUCAUAGAGAACACUCAGGCUUGAGUAGUGGAAUGCCAGGCUAACCCCUUGAUUACCUACCACUCCUGCCUCUAGAAGAUGACGGUGCCCUACUACUGGAUGACCCUGCUGCAGAGGAAGAAGCACCACCUUAACUCUGAUUUUGACCCAUACUACCCUGCCCCUGCUGGGCCCCAGUCCCCUGGACUGCUGCAUCACUCUGGAGUAUAAUUGGGCAACUUCUCUUAGUAUGCCCCACUUGCCCUCAAAAGUAGCAUGUCAAGCUACUACUCUGACUCGGUCCACCUCCCUGAGUAUAGCUAGGACAAUCUUUCACCAUGUGCCUAACCUUUCCGCAGUUAAAGCAUGUCAACCCAGUCUGCCUAGAAGGAGUCCUAGCUAUGCUAGCUGUAGACUGCGGCCCUGAAUACUGAGUCCAAGCUGGACGAAAACCGGAUCUCCCACUACUAGAACUAGAUCCCUGUCCUCCUGACCACCGCCGCUAGCAAAACUGGAGCUAGAUCCUCCUUUCUUUGAUGCACCCUGACUGGGCCCACCAAUUCCUGGUGUAUCUCUACGGCGCCUACCAGCACUCCCACUGAGUUUUCUCGACACCCUUUCAGCCGCCUGAGCCAAAGCCCUCAUAUUUGGAUAAGUGUUGGCCGUAACCACUGCCUGAAUCUCUAACCAUAAUCCUUCCUCAAAUCGUCUACAUCUGUCCUCCUGAGUGGCAACCAGCUCUGGAGCAAAUCUAGACAGCUCAUUAAACUGGUGUUCGUGCUCCACCACUGACAUAGACCUCUGUGCGGGUAAACUAGCUAAGUACAUGCCUUAUAUCCAAAGCAUUAUCUCCGGCAGGUGGAGAUGGUGGAGGUGAAGGCACUGGUGGUGAAAGAGGGGGUGAUGGAGAUGGAGAUGGCAGAUUCGGCCCCCAUCUCUGACCGCGACCUCUUGCUCUAGCUCUGCGAGCUAACAUGAUUCUACAUAAAGAAAUCAUAAAAUCAUUAGAUCAACAAUGCAACAAAAGUGCAAAAGUCAAAGGAAAAUGAACCUAAUGCUCUGAUACCAAGCUGACAGGACCCGCCCCGGAAUUCCCCGGAAACCGAAGCGGACCCCGUCUUUGUUCCGACAUCAUCCCAAUACCGGACCCACUAACUAAAAACCGAGACUCUUUACCAAAAUUUUGGCAGAGUCUCCCCUGUAAAUUAAGCAAACUGAACAAAAUUUUACUUGUAACUUACACAAGAUAAUCCCAACCAGCAACAUGCUUUCAUAAUACAACAAAACAUACUAAAUGGCCUCCGGCCUCGCAAGUAAAAUCUACCAUGGGCGAUAAUAGAGCAUCUAUUGAAUUUAGUUUACAACAACAGUUGAGUAGAAGAAAGUACUCAAAUCCUAACUAGGGAAGUUCACAGUUCGAGCCUCGUACACCACUUGCACACUUUUUGAGACAACUACUGGCUGGGGGAGCAAAACAGAUAACAUGCGAGUGGACAAAAACAAAUUUGCAUUUCAAACAACAUAGUAACCCCACCGUAUAAAAGUAAUGCUCAAGACAUGCAGAUUCAUUCAAAAUGCUGAAAAAUAUAUUUCAUUAAAAACUCUUUAAAAACACAAAUCACUUCAUCCAUAAACCACAUUCUCACAAUCUUGUUGCUCCUGCCAACCCACUGAUAAACUAUAAUUUCUUCACUCUCACAACUAUAUAUCUAUAUAUAUAACUAUACAAUAUACUCAUCACACUACCUAGGUACCGGGGAAACAAUCCAACCGGGGGAUCGUUUAACUACCCCGUAGGAUUUUCAGGUGCUAUCCUGCGUCUAGGGAUGAGCAGUCCAACCGGGGGACGAAACUCCACAGCUCACACACCGGAACAUCCAACGCCAUGUGUAGCUCCAAUACUAAGUCCUACGCGCGUAGACUAGACCAUCACAUACCGGAACAUCCAACGCCAUGUGUGAUGAUCCCAAACAAUAUACAGAGUCUUCUCAUACGUCAGAACAUCCAACGCCGCGUAUGAAAAGUGUCUCACACGCCAGAAUAUCCAAGGCCGCGUGUGAGACUGAUAACCUAUUCUUCCCACAUGCCAGAACAUCCAACGCCACGUGUGAGAAGUCUAAUCACUGGGGAAGGUACUUACAUAGUGUAAUCAUACAACUUCUCUCAAUAACCCCUCAUACUCAAGUUCCUCCACAACUCGCCUCAACAACCCAAGUAUCCCACCUAUAGACAAUAUAUAUAUAUAUAUAUGUAUAUAUAACUCCCCCAAAAAUUCAUAUAAAAUAUACUCUCGAUACCCAAAUAUGCCAAACCCACAAUAUAUUGCCAAAGCGCUAUACAAACAUCAAAUUCAACCAAUGAAUAUAAUAUAUUUAAUAAAUUAUUAAAAACAUUAUGCAUAGAUCUUUCAUCAAUAAAACCAUGCAUAUGAUUGAAAACAAAGUUCACUCACAAGUAUUCCCACGCUGCCUGACCACGAGAGGGUCCUGCCUGCUGAGUACGUGCAGUCGGAGCACCUAUUUCGAGAUACGAACCCUUAAUUAAUAUAAAAUUACAUCAAAACGGAAUUCACAAAUUAAAUACUUAAAUUCCCAAAUUCCCAGUACGUGUACGUUGAAGGAGGUAUCCUAAGGUCCGAUUAUAGGCUUAGGAAUCGCUAACGAUUGUACGGUUAUCGCUAACCCACAAACUUUGAAUUAUUGAAUCGGAACAUCCGGGGCUCCGAUUCAUGAUCGUGAAGUCCUACACGGUCCUAGGAAUACCUAGAACAACAUAUUUUAAUUGGGAAAAGAUCCAACGGUCAGAACCUAUCGAACCCGGAUAACGCACAAUAUACGAAAAUCCGUUCAAUAGUCAAACGAAGUCCGAAUUCAGAUCCACGAAAUCCUACACACUCGUGACAACCUAAGGAUCUCAUCGAGACAAAGUGCAACUUCACCACCCUCGCCCACGUGCCGCCACAAGCGCCGGCAGCUCGUGGGUGUGUAGAGUGAAUUCCGGGGACGGAAAAACUCCACACUCGAGCUCACCCUUCCUACCCUAGCUUCUACUUGAGGUCAGGAUCACAUCAUUCAAUUACAGGGAGGUCCAAUUUGGACGGCAACUGGCCGGAAUUUCACUUUGAAAUCCGGCCAAAACCUAGGUUUACAAAAUUAUUUUCUACACAUCAAAUCAAUCCAAACUUAUCCCAAAAGCAGCUAGAGCUCAGAAAAUGGAUGAGAAACCUCACCUUAUUCACCGGGUUUGGGCGGCGAAGUCGACGGCACGAAGGCAGCGAUUCACCGGUUCAAACUAGUCGAGAUCGUGGCCAGAAUUCGUGGUUUCCGGCGGGGAAAACUGGCUGACUAGGACGUCGAGGGGAAUUGAUCGGGACCGGUGGCGUCGAUCGGGGUGGCCGAAAACGGUGGAGGGGUGGUGGUUUCUGGUUCGGUGAACAGUAACGAGGGAGAGAGAGAGAGAGAGAGAGAGAGAGUGAGAGAGAGAGUGAGUGAGUGAGUGAGUGAGUGAGGUAAAAGUGAAAAAAAUCAGAUUUUUACUCUAACUCUUUUCGAAAUAAUUACAAGUUUGCCACUGAAUUACUUUUGGUUGCCAAAUCUUCGUUCCAACUCCGAUUCAAGCCUACCGCAUGUCUACGAAUUCGUCUCAAUACAACCUACCCAAAAAUACCAGUUGUGAUUCCAAAAUCUUUCCGAAUAAGAAAAUGAUCAAUUUACCCCUACCCCAAGGGUAAAUUCGUAAGUUCACUUUAAAUAAAUUAAAAUAGGAAUUAAAUUUGGAGUCCGGGGUGUUACAAAUUAUUUAAGUUUUUUUUAUAAUCAUUAUACACUAAUUUUUCUUAGAAUUAAUGCAUUUGAAAACUACAAUUUUAAUUUUAUUCACCAUUAUUAUUGUUUUUUGAGUGGGGAUUAAUUUUUGAUCCUACACACGAUCAUUGGCGGAUCCACAAAAGCACAAAGAGACUUGCCGGAAACUUCCUUGGAGAUGCUGGAAUUUACCCCUUUGCUAGUGCCGACAAAUUGUUCAACUAAAUGCCUCGAAGAGGUUGUUUUGUUUACUGUUGUGUGAGACCCUGAAUAUUUACCUUGAUUGUUAGACUCGAUCUCAUGAGCAUAUAGAAGAAAAUGGUCCAUCAAUCAGAGCUCCAAAACAAAAGUUAUAAAUUUUAGAAGUUUAUUAAGAAUUGAUGUUCGAGUUUGACGAGGAAGAAAGACUCCGUGUCAAUUUUGGUACCUUUUUUAAAUAGUCCAAUAGCAAGCUGCCAAAUGUCAAUUUUUAGUGUUUCAAAUAUUGCACCUCCCCUGAAAAGUUCAUGGAUACACCCAUGCACGUGAUUCUUAUGCCUUGGUUCCAAGCAACAAAGUUUUCAAUAUAUGAAUGGUACCACUUGUGCAGAUGAUACCUGCUGUAAAAGAAGAAGAAAAUGGCGUGAUCCAGUUAUAUUCCUCAGAAAAAAAUCCAAGAGACCCGAGCAGCCUAGCUGAACUUGAUCAAAUUUUGGUUGAGCCAGGCCCAGGUACGGAAACAAAAAGAACUACUGCCGCUGCUGGUCAGAUUCAGAACAAAGCAGUAGCGAUAGCUUGGUGUCUGAUAAAUAGACUGGUAAAUUGCUUGGAAU